UAUGUAGAUAAGUAAAUAUCUCAAAUUAAAAUUAUAAAUUAAUUAAAGCGUGCCUCGUCAAUGUGUGCAGACUUCGACCACUGUGGAUCUGUUAACGUCUUACUUUGGCAGGAUUAGAGUGAAUUUAAAUGUCUAAUACUGUCAGGUAAUGAUGUCCUCAGAUACCCAUUAAUCGCCAACAAUAUUGUGUCAAGAAUUUUCUAUUCAACUACUCGGAGCUUGCACAAUUCCAGACAAGUAUUUAAUGUUGCUAGAGCCAUAACAUUUUGUGGAAGUAGGUUAAAUUCAAGCAGUACCGACUACUGCGGCUGAUGGAAACAUGUGCGAGCCAGAUAUUAUAAUCUGUCAUCGAAAUAUUUAUGAAUGGUUUCGGCCUACCUCCUGGACAGACGAUCUCAACAAAUCUUCAAACACGAGUACCUACAAAUAAUUAUUUUCGAACGAGGAAGCUCGCCAAGAAUGUGUUUUAACAUUGCAUAUGCAUUGGCCUAUAUAAUAGAAAAUAGUUCAAGCAAGUUCUUAAAUUUUGUUUACAUCGUGUCGUGUUUUUUGGUACCACUCGAGUCUUACAAAUAAAUGCCCUUCAAAUUUUAAUUCAAAGUAACAAAAGAGACUCUUGUUAAUCGUCAAAUCAACCAGCGGUUUUGUGGUUUGAAUUGGUAGACAAAAAAUGAAUUCUAAGAAAGAAAAAAAUACUCAAUCUAAAAUAAUAUGCAUUGUCUAUAACUUAUAACGAUGAGGACCACGCGCCGUAAACACAUGCGUGAAAACAAUAAUAAUGAACAAGCUGUCUAAAUACAUAAGAGCGAGGGUAGGGAACACUGCAUACGGGCUACUGUUAUUAUAUUGACUUUAUUAAACGCACUCGUUCCUACUGGCUUCCGUUUAAAUUACAUUAAUUUACGAGAUAUUUAAAAAUAUUAUGCCUAUAACGUCGCCUGUAUAUAAAUAUGCAGGGGUCCCAAAAGUUGAACAAAACGUUAAUGAUUCAAUUACAUUUACCGUGUAUUAAUUGGAUUCCAACAAUGAGCUUACAUAUUACUUAUUUUAACAUAGUUAUAACUUUAUUUUUAAAGUUUUCAGUUUCCACAUGUUUUUAGUUUAAAAUAGCGUUAAACAGGGACGUCUUUUCAGUGUUUAACUAUGAUGACAAUCAUUUGAUGCGGGUCAAUUCCCCCCCCCCUCAAUCAGUUCAUACAAUAAUUGU
Adelges cooleyi (spruce gall adelgid) is the source of this 1207-nucleotide long non-coding RNA. RefSeq lists it as uncharacterized. The transcript is spliced from 3 exons. Lineage: Eukaryota; Metazoa; Arthropoda; Insecta; Hemiptera; Adelgidae. The record is from RefSeq and is a predicted model, not a curated record.